This 18542-nucleotide long non-coding RNA is filed under the name Solanum tuberosum (potato). RNAcentral's name for it is "long non-coding RNA (STUB_LNC007837)". The record is from RNAcentral. Lineage: Eukaryota; Viridiplantae; Streptophyta; Magnoliopsida; Solanales; Solanaceae.
UAGGAUGGUUUUGAAGCUGCAAGGGAGAGAAUAAGGGAAACUUUUGGGAAAGUAGAGUUAUCUCCUUCUUCCUAUGACACAGCAUGGGUAGCUAUGGUCCCUUCAAAACAUUCACUAAAUGAGCCAUGUUUUCCACAAUGUUUGGAUUGGAUUAUUGAAAAUCAAAAGAGAAGAUGGAUCUUGGGGACUAAAACCUAGCCAUCCAUUGCUUCUCAAGGACUCUACUUUCUUCCACUCUUGCAUGUUUGCUUGCACUAAGCAAAUGGAGAGUUGGAGAUGAGCAAAUCAAAAGAGGUAAAUGGAUUUUAUUUGUUCAAGUCAUCACUACUAUGUUAUUCCCUCUAGUUCAUUUUUAUUUGUCAUAUUUAUUUCUACAUAUUUUUUAAGAAGAUAUUAACUAAACUAAAUUAUCAUUAUUUAAUCUUGAUCUCAAUUUAAUAGAGUAAGAGUAAAGGUGAAAACUAGUAGUACUCCCUCCUGAUCACUUUAUAAUUUGUUGUUUUUACUAAAAAUAAAUGACCCAAAAUAGUUGUAAUUUUAAAAAAUCAAAACAUAAAUGAAUACAUUAUUUCCAUAAAUGAAAAGUAUAUACACAUAUUUUAAUAUUGUGGUUACUAAUAUUUAAUUCUCUUAUUGAAGAGAGAUUAAAGCUAUAAAAAAAUAUUUAUUGAAUAGAAAUUAUUAACAUUUUAAAUAAUUGAAGAUAAUUAACAGGGAAAUAAUGAUUAAUCAGAACACAUUUUUUAAGGAGACGUUUAAAUAAAAAAUGUGACAAAUAAAAUGGUUUAAGAGGGUAAUUAAUUAUAUUUUCAUAUUUUAAAAUAAUAAUCAUCUUGAUCAAUUUUUAAUAAGUACGAUAAUUAAAAUGAAUUAAAAAUGGAAAAAUAUUUUGAACAGAAAAUAAUACUCGUGAUGCUUUUUUGAAUAGCGUGCUUUUUGCGAAAGAAUAAUUGAAUUUUAUGUGUCCUUUCCUUCUUGUCAAAAAAAUAACAAAACAAAAUACCUGUCGCUAGGGAGAGCCGUUUUAAAUUUUUUAUUAUUAUUAUAGUAAUAGAGAUAUAGUGGUAAUCCACUAAAUUUUUUCUUUUAGUGACCAUUUUAUUACCAUAAAAUAUUUAAUAGUAAUUGAGUUAAUGUCUUUAUAUUUAUAGUCACUAAAUUCUUUAAUAAUAUUCAUAUAAAGUGUUGAUUAUAAAUACUCAUAUUAUAUUAUUACAGCAAAAUUCUUUACUUUUGGUAAUAUAUGCAGGUAUAAACUAAAAAUAUAAUUUAUAAUAUAUUAUGUUGGACGGUAUAUUAUUUAAAAAUUUCCAAAAUAAAUCAUAUAUAAAGGAGAAACAUAGACAAGGUGAUGUGACACCUCUCUAUGGCCUCCAUUCCUAAAUUUUUUUUCUCCUUUUUUUGGACAUUUUUUAAUUUUUCUCCUCAUUUUUAAUAUAAUUAUUAUUUGUAUAUAAUUAAUGUUUUGUUGUAAUAUAUCAUAUUAAUGUGGAUGUCCAUAAUUCAAGAUAUAAUUUCACCAUUAUGUGUAAUAAUACUCACACCUCGACCAUCUCCUCAUUCAUCUUCCACACCCUUUAAAUUCCCCACAUUCUCAAUAAUUAAUAUCAUGUUUAUUGCUAUCUCUUUGUAUGCCUCUUAAACAAUAUAAAUAGAGGUCUUGAGUAUGUGUUAUGCACUUGAAGAUUUAGAAAACACUUGAAUAUACUUGGAAGAAUAAGAAAAUUCUCUCUUGUCUCUCUACAUUUCUUGUCUAUUUUCUCACUUUAUUACUCUUUUUAGUUUUGUUUUACUAUAUAUUUUCAUUCUUAGUAAAAGUUAAAAUGUUAUAUCUUAUUGUAUUUACCUUACAACAAAAAUAAAUGUACUGAUACUUGUAUGCCUAUCUUAAGAUACUUGUAUGCCUACCUUCACAUCUUUUGAUAUAUUUUGUCUUCUUUAUAUAUUUUAUUCAUAUAUUUAUUUUUAGAUUAAUUUCAUUUCAAUAUUCAUUGAUCUCUUUGUAUAAUAAUCAAACAUUGAGGUUUGACGUAUAUCAUAUUCGUUCUAAGGAAUAAAAUUCUUCAAAUCAAUCAAAAAUAACAUGUAUUGACACAAAGGGAAGUUCAGUUGUUAUGCAUUUUUUGCUUUAGUAUAGUAUAAAUAAAAAAUAUCAUGUAGUGACGCAAAGGGAAAUUAAGUUGUUAUGCAUUUUUAGCUUUAGUAUAAUAUAUAAUUGUAGAAGUAAUUUAAUUUUUUAUAUAUAGUUUUUCCUCAUAUUAUUAGAUCUUUGUUUAAAAAAUAUCUAUUGUGAUGUCCUUUUUGUUCUUGUGAAACAAUUCAUUCACAUAUAAUCGGAAUUAUAGUCUUACAAAUUAAUGCAUUGAAUAUUUCAAUCAAGUUUAAUAUUUUAAUGAAUGAAAAUUCUCAAUUAAAUUCUUAAAAAUUAUAUGAUAUGAUCACAAAAAAUAUUCAAAAGAAAAAUACUUGAAAUAUCUACCUUUAGAUUUAUUAUUGUUUGCCUGCAAAUAAUUUCCUUAAAUCAAUAUAGUACAUUUUCACUGAAAGACUAAAAGUGCUUAAGAAAAUUAAUUUUUAAAAAUAAAAAAAUAUAUACACAAGAAAAAGAAAAAAAAAUCACCACAAAUAUAUGACACUCACAUUUCAACUAAUUAAAUAUCUAGAAGAAUCAUAAUUCGCUAUAAAACUCAAUUGAGAGAGAAAAGAAGAAGAAACGGACUUUCAUGCAUAUGAGUUUUCUUAGUUCAUGGUAUUUAAGUAUGAUUAUAGAAAUUGUUAGAAUAGUUAUAUUUUGUAAGACUUAAAUGUUUUUUCAUUGCUCCACACUCAUUAAGAUAUGUAAUGUUUCUAUUGUCUUUGGAAGGAAAAAGUUAAGCGUUAAUGAGGCAUAUAUAUAUAUAUAUCUUGCCCGUUAGCCUUUUCUAUAAAUUUUCAAAUAGAUUGAACAUAUUAUUUUCUUUUUAGUAUUACUUUAUGCAUUUAUGAAUCUUGAAAACUUAAAAAACUUCAUAACUUGAUUAAAUUUUUUUUGAAUACCAUUAUAUUUAUACCUACUCACCAAACGAAGAUCAACAUUUCACAAAAAAAUGUAUUUAGUAGAAAAACGGAUGAAAUUUAUUUUUGUGUUUAUAUUCUUCUUUUUUUUACGAUACAAUGAGAUGUGUUUUUAAAGAAAUUUCUUGAUAUCAUGUUUUCAUUUAAUUACUUCUUGAGUAGCAAAGACUAAUUAAAUAAAUAGAUAACUUAGUGAAGAAAUAUAUAGUCAAAGGUCUGCUAACAAGCUAUUUUUAUACGUAUUUUUUCAUAUUUACUUAAAACAAAAAAUAUAUAAUGUGUUUAUGUAACUUUUGGUUUAGAAUUUGAAAACUUAAGUUUUGAAAAAGACUUUUAUGUAUAUUAUAAUUUCUUCUAUUUAGAUCAUACGUUUGAAAGAAAUAUUGAAAAUAAAAUUGAUUAUAUUUUUUGAUGAUUUUAAUAUUCGAGUAUUAAAAAGAAAAAAAAAAUAAACCAUGAAUUUGGUGGGCAUCUGACCAUAUAUAAUUAGAAAUUAAAUAUUUUUCAUUUCACUAGAAAAUUUUAAAAUUAGAGUUGUGUUUUGUUAUAUUUUUUUUCACAAAUGAGACAAAUAACAUUUUAUUUGAAAUUUUAAACAUGGAGGUUUAAUUUGAAUUUUUCAUAGCCAAAAUUAAUUUUUAAAUAAAGUAAAAAUUAUAUCAUAAAAAAGACGGGUGAUAUAAUUUAUUUCUCCGUGCGAAGCGCGGAUAAGUUCACUAGUUUUAUUAUAUACUUGAAGAGUUACUUCAUUUUCUUUCAGGUCUUGGCUUCAUUGAAACGUAUGGUUGGGCAGUAGAUAACAAGGAUCAAAUUUCACCUCUAGGAUUUGAAAUUAUAUUUUCUAGUAUGAUCAAAUUUGCAGAGAAAUUAAACUUAAAUUUGCCUUUGGAUCUUGAUAUUAUUGUAAAUUUGGUGAAUUGCAAAAGAGAUUCAACAAUUAAAAGGUACAUAUUUCGUAUUACUUUAAAAAAAAAUUAAUUUUAUGAGUUCGGCAUAGAGGAAAAAUAUUUUUCUUCCCACCUCACUACCCCACACCUUCAUCUCUCAUAAUAUUUUUCUAAAUUAUAUACAAAUAUUUUUUUUUACUUACGUAUCAAAUACAAAAAAAUAUAUCAUUUUAUUUUUCUAAAAAAUAUUUUUCUUCCCAUCGAACACACCUUUAUACACUUAUUUUCUGACUAUAUAUAUCUAAACAUUUACCAAAUAAUUUCACUAGGAAUGAUGAAUAUAUGGGUGAAGGACUUGGUGAAUUAUGUGAUUGGAAGGAGAUAAUAAAGUUACAUCAAAGACAAAAUGGUUCAUUAUUUGAUUCACCAGCCACUACUGCAGCUGCCUUGAUUUAUCAUCAACAUGAUAAAAAAUGCUAUGAAUACCUUAAUUCAAUCUUGCAAAAACACAAAAAUUGGGGUACGUACCAUGAUCAAUAUAGCAUUUUUUUAUGCAUAUGAAAAAUCACUCUAUUUGUUUCAAUUUAUUUGUUUUAUUUUCAUUUUAAAAAAAUGUCUUUUUCCGACCCUAAGCUAGAACAUGGGCCGAUCUAUGAGGUUCAGGACUUUAACUGGCCCAACUAUCUUACGGAGGGGCGGAGCUAGCCUACUGUUAGAGGUUCAUCCUGUUGGAAAAGGCAAGCACAAAAUAAAUGUGCACAAUAGGGCAAUAGGGGAAGAAAAUCCAAGUCAAAACUUUCCCUUCUAUUUGAAUCAAGAGAAGACAAAAUAAUGCAAGAAUAAACACUGUUUGGGUGUGAAGAGUAAAAACCACAAGGCCAAAGCUCCACUAUAAUCAACAAGAGUUACAAAAGUGUUCUCCAAAAUGGUCACCAACAAAGUGCCAAACAAUGAGCAACACAACUACAAGAUAGCACAAAAAAUAGAGAAAUAAAAGGAACAAAAACACCAAAUCGCAGCUACUGUUCACGAACAAAAAUCUGGAGCUACAGGACUCCAAAUCACCCUCUCUUAGUUCUCAAUCAAAGAUUAAGUUGAAAGGAACAAGUUAUCCAAAAAUUAGCUCAAUCAGAUGAGAAACAAAGCGGAAAUUGCAAUUUGAAAUUGGCUGCUAGGGAUUGUGCGAAAAUCUGCACUUUUUCAGUUUUCUCUCUAUAUGGCUGCUCUCAAUCUCUUGUGAUGUCUCUAAAAUAGGACCUAAAAGAAAGUUUUAUAUAUGCACCAUAAUAUUGGGCUUAUGGGCAAAAGUGAGCUAGUCAAAUUUGGGCUAAAUUUAUCCACAAAGGAAAUGAAGGAAGACCCAAAACCUUGGACUUUUAUUUAUCCACAUAAGAAGGGAAAAAGGCCCAAAACCCAACAAUUCUCCCCCUACCAACUAUGUGGAGGAAACCACCAUUCCGCGAUCAUGCAACAUUCUUCAAACUUCCCUCUUGGCAAAACUUUAGUCAUCAUGUCAGAACCAUUAUCAUUGGUAUGAAUUUUCUCAAAUUCAAGCAACUUAGAAUCCAACACAUCUCGAAUCCAAUGAUACUUCACAUCAGUGUGUUUAGACCGACCAUGAAAUGUAGAAUUCUUGCCAAGAUGAAUAGCACUUUGACUGUCGCAAUAAAGCACAUACCUCUCUUGAGCACAACCAAGUCCCCCCAAAAAUCUCUUCAUCCAAAUUAACUCUUUGCAAGCUUCAACUGCUACAAUAAGCUCAGCCUCUGUAGUAGAUAAAGCAACACAUUUUUACAAUCUAGAUUGCCAAGACACAACUCCCCCUGUAAAAGUAAUCAAGUAGCCUGAAGUAGACUUACGAGUACCAACAUCACCGGCCAUGUCUGAAUCAGUAUAACCACAAAGAAUAGGCUUUCCUAUGCCAAAAUACAAAAUCAGACUAGAAGUGCCGCAAAGAUAUCUCAUAAUCCACUAUACAACAUUUCAAUGAUCUCUUCCCAAAUUAAAAAGAAAAUGGCUAACAAUACCAACAACAUGAGCAAUAUUUGGUCUUGUACACACCAUUGCAUAAAUGAAACUACUAACAACUGAAGCAUAAGGAACUUUCUUCAUAUCUUCCUUCUCACCGUCACUGGAAGGACAAAGCUUAGUACUCAAUUUGAAGUGCAUAGCUAAAAGUGUACUGACAACCUUAGCUUUGUUCAUGUUAAAUUUACGAAGUACUUAUUGAAUGUACUUCUCUUGUGACAACCACAAUCUCUUGGCAUCUCUAUCACGAACAAUCUGCAUGCCAAGAGUCUGUCUUGCUGGUUCCAAGUCUUUCAUAGCAAAAGACUUAUUCAAAUCUUGCUUUAACUUUUUAAUCCUUCGAGCAUUAUGACCAACAACAAGCAUGUCAUCAACAUAAAACAAAACGAUAAUGAAGUCACCAUCAGAGAAUGUUUGCACAAAAACACAAUAGUCUGAAUAAGUCUUCUUGAAGCCCUGCUGAUUCAUAAAAGAACCAAACUUCAUGUACCAUUGCAUGUGAGUCACCAUGGAGAAAAUUAGUUUUAGCAUCCAUCUGUUCAACCUCGAAGUCCAUACUUGCAGCUAAGCCUAGAACCACACGGAUGGAUGACAUCUUCACAACUGGAGAAAAUAUCUCAUCAAAAUCAAUUCCCUUUUUCUGGUUAAAACCCUCCACAACUAAUCUAGCUUUGUACCGUGGAACUGAGUUACCAUCUUCAUGUUUCACACUAAAAAUCUACCUGUUUUUUAAAGAUUUUGAUCUUUAGGUAACAUAACCAAAUCAAAGGUAUGAUUAUCAUGUAGAGACUUCAUUUCAUCCUCCAUAUCAUCAAACCACCUUUCUUUUUCUUCACUUUCAUGGCCUCAUCAAGACUCUCUGGUUCUCUCCGGUCAGUCAAGAGUACAUAAUCAUUGGGAGAAUAACGAGAUGAAGGUAUUUUCUCUCUAGUAGAUCUUCUAAGAGAACUAUCUAGAGUAUCAAUAAUAGUUGGUUGUUGACAAACUACAUCGUCUUGCGCUGGAGCAUCAAUGCCAUAUUGGUCAUUCUGAAUAUGAUCACCAUCUUCAAUAUCAACUUGAUUUUCAUCAUUUUGAAGAUUUUCAUCUGGUGUAAUAGUUAAAGGUAUUGGAUCAACAUCAACUAGGCUCUCACUGUUCUGAGAAUAAACUUUCUCAACUUUGUCAAGAUCUUCAAUUUUUUGGUCUUCAAAGAACACAACAUCACGGCUUCUAAAAAGUUUCUUCUCAACUGGAUCAAAGAAACGAUAGCUGAAUUCAUCAUGACCAUAACCAACAAAGAUACAUUGCCUAAUUUUAACAUCCAACUUUGACCUCUCAUCCUUAGGAACAUGCACAAAGGCUUUACACCAAAAAACUUUAAAAGGAUCAUAAGAAAACCAAACUCUGUCAGGAACUUCACUAUUCAAAGCAACAGUAGGAGAUAAAUUGAUAACAUAGGCAGCAAUAUUAAUUGUUUCUACCAAAAAAGAAUCUGGCAGCUUAGCAGAUGAAAGCAUACAUCUAACCUUCUCAACAAGAUUUCUAUUUAUCCUCUCCGCUAAACCAUUUAGUUGAGGAGUCUUUGGAGGAGUUUUCUGAUGCCGAAUACCCUGCUCUCUACAAUAUCUAUCAAAAGAAUCAAUAUACUCACCACCAUUAUCAGGACGGAUACAUUUUAAUUUCUUCCAUGUUUGUCUCUCAACCAAGGCCUGAAUAUUCAUGAACACAAGAAGUACCUGAUCCUUGGACUUUAAAAAAAAUACCCAGAGUGUACGAGAAAGUCACAAAGUAAAGUGCACCACCAUGAGACUUUACCUUAAAAGGACCACACAAAUCAUAAUGUACCAACUCCAGCAAAUCGAGCUUUCUUGAAGGCGGAUGACUCUGAAAAGAAACUUUUUUCUGUUUACCGGCUAUGCAAUGAACACACUUGUUCAACUUUUCUUGUUUCACUCUAGAAAGUAAAUUCUUCUUAGCCAAAUUUUUCAUCCCAUUCUCGCUCAUAUGACUCAGUCUUCUAUGCCAUAACAAUGAUAAAGUAUCAUUCUCCACCACAUUUACUGAGCCUCUGAAAAUGGAGCCAUGAAAAACAUACAAGUUAGACAACUUGUCACCACAGACUACAACCAUUGAACCUCUAGUAAGCUUUCACUGGCUAGCACCAAGGGUAUUAACAUAACCCUCAUCAUUAAGGUAUCCAACAGAAAUCAAAUUCAAGCGAACAUUUGGAGCAUGUUUGACAUUAUUGAGAACUAGUUUGGAGCCACUAUUACUUUCCGAACAAACAGUCCUAAUACCAAGAACUCCAACUUCAUGAUUAUUGCUCAUUUUCAACAUUCCAAAAUUACCUGGAGUAUAAAAAGAAAAUAAUUCUUUCCUGGGCAUGACAUGAGAAUUAGCACCAGAAUCCACAAACCGGCUAGACUCAUCGCAAACAAGAUUGACGACAUUUACAUCAAAAGAAACAAGAAGGUCAUCGUUAGCAACAACAGCAACACAAUUUUCCUUAUCGCCUUCUUUAUUUUGUUGUUUCAUAUCUCUUAUAUAUGAAACAAUAUUUCUUGAUAUGCCCAUUCUUGUGGCAAUAGUCACAUGUAACAUUCUUGAAUCUGGACUUUGACUUUCCUCUACUUUUAUCUCUGUCAUUGUGACCUCUAAAUUUGCUUCUCUCUGUCUUUAGUAACCAAAACAUCGGUGUGAAGUUGAAGAAGAUGAGCCUUGCGAUCUUCUUCUCAUCUCUUCAUUCAAGACACCAUUCUUAGAAUAUUUCAUGGUCACAACACCACUGAGAGCAUAAUUAGUCAAACAAACUCGAAGAGUUUCAAAAGAGUCUGGCAGAGUAUUAAGAUGCCAUAGUCCCUGUAUUUCUUCAUCGAAUUUUACACCCAUUCCGGAUAAUUGGUCAAGAACACCCUGAAAAUCAUUAAUAUGAUGAGAAAUAGGAGUGUCUUUUUUAUACCUGAUGUUCAUCAAUUGUUUCAAAAGAAACAACUUAUUAUUGUCAGUCUUCGAAGUAUAAAGUGUCUCAAGCAAACAAUGUGAUUUCUCACAUUAUCUUCAACUCAUUGUUUGAUAUAGCCACAAACUUAUAGAUGCUCAAAUUUCCAAUCCUCAUUAUUCAUAGAUUCGGGUUUAUUAGAAGCAAACACAUGUAGAUGCAUCUUCUUAACAAAUAGAAGAUCUUUUAUCUUGCCUUUCCAAGUAUGAUAAUUACUACCAUUCAAACAAACCAUCUUGCUCAUAUUUGACCCCAUCAUUCAAACAGAUAAUCAACAACAACCCAAUGCUCUGAUACCACUUUGUUAGGAAAGACAAACACAAAAUAAAUGUGCACGACAGGGCAAUAGCGAAAGAAAAUCCAAGUCAAAACUUACCCUUCUAUUUGAACCAAGAUAAGACAAAAUAAUUUAAGAAUAAAACACUGUUUGGGCAGCAAACAAAUCAACCAAGCAAGAAAAAUAAAUCAACACAUGAGACACCAAAGUUUAACAUGGAAAACAUUUUCGGUGUGAAGAGUAAAAACCACAAGGCCAAAGCUCCACUAUAAUCAACAAGAGUUACAAAAGUGUUCUAAAAAAUGGUCACCAAUAAAAUGCCAAACAAUGAGCAACACAACUACAAGAUAGUACCAAAAAUAGAGAAAUAAAAAGGAGCAAAAACAACAAAUCAUAGCUACUCUUCACGAUAAAAAAUAUGGAGCUACAGGACUCCAAAUCACCCCCUCUCAGUUCCCAAUCAUAGAUUAAGUUGAAAGGAACAAGCUGUCCAAAAAUCAGCAUAAUCAGGUAAAAAACAAAGCGGGAAUCGCGAUUUGAAAUUGGCUGCUAGGGCUUGUGUGAGUUCACUUUCUCACUUCUCUUUAUAUGACUGCUCUCAAUCUCUUUUGAUAUCUGUAAAAUAAGACCUAAAAGAAAGUCUAACAUAUGCACCAUAAUGUUGGGCUUAUGGGCAAAAGUGGAAUAGUCAAAUUUGGGCUAAAUUAGUAAGACCUAAAACCUUGGAUUUUUAUCUAUUCACAUAGGAUGGAAAAAAGACCCAAAACCCAACACAUUCAAACCCCCUUCAGCGAAAAAAUAUUGUUAUUUAUACAUGGUUAAAAUUAUUUUUUUAUGUUUAUAUAGUAGAUGUCGAAUUCCUUGGAUUAAUUCGUGUAUUUGCUUCUUCAAAUUUUGAACCCCUUAUUAAUUAUGUGAUUGGAAGAAUGAAUGCAUCUUGUAGAAUUUUCAAGAAAAUUCUUUGAUGUUUUCCGUAUGAAAUGACCCGACCCAUUUGACAGAUUUAUUUCACAGAUUUAUUUAAGGCAAUAUGACAUUAUUUACUUUCUAUGAGGUUUUACUUGAUUAAUGAGGGAUAAUUGUAUUUUCUGACAGUUAUAAAUCCAAAGACAAAAACAAAAUUAAAAGAUUGUAUGGUUUAAAAAUAAAUGUCUUGCUUAUUUUAAUGGUUUAAUAAUUAAUAUAUAAUUAAUAAUCUUGUUUUUUUCUUUCUAACAUUUUUUUUUUUGGCCCUUUAUGUUCCCAUAGUUCCCACUAUGUAUCCAACAAAGAUACAUUCAUUGCUUUGCUUGGUUGAUACACUUCAAAAUCUUGGAGUACAUCGGCAUUUUAAAUCAGAAAUAAAGGAAGUUCUAGAUGAAAUAUACAGGUAAAUUAAAUAUAAUUAAUCUCAAUCAUAUUUUAUAAUUGACUAAAUAUUUAGAUAACCCCUUAAACUUGAUAGUAUAAGUUAAUAGAUACAUGAUGUUGAUUUUGUCGUGAUCAAAGAGAUAUUUUAACUUGACAAAAAAUGUAUAUUGCGAAUGCGCAUGUUCAUAGAGAGAAGAGAGUAUACGCAAAAAUGCCUUUGAUACACAUUAUUUGCCAGGCCAUCAAAAGAUACGCUUUUAUUAAGUUAAAAUGUUUAUCUGAUCAGUAGAAAAGUUAAAAUGUCUAGAUUGUAAAUUAUGCUAAGUUUAAGGGGUUAUCUAGGUAUUUCACCUUUACGAUUUUGUUAAGCCUAUAGUAUAUAAUAGUGUCAAUUAUUUAUAGGCUAUGGCAACAAAAGAAUGAAGAAAUUUUCUCAAAUGUCACCCAUUGUGCCAUGGCUUUUCGACUUCUAAGGAUGAGCAACUAUGAUGUCUCCUCAGGUUUGUUACUAAAAACUCGAGUCGAUUUUUCAGAUGAUCACUUACUAAUAAUUAUUUUCUCAGAAAAUCAAUUUUGUUGUUGAAGAAAAUUGAAAUCAAGAAAACAUAUGACGUUCUGAGAUAAUAACUAUAAUAUUAGCUGAGUUAUACCAUCUGAGAAAUUAAACCCUAAAAACUCCGACAACAAAGUAGUUUGCCUUCUAAUGAAUUCAAUUAAUUUGCAGAUGAACUAGCAGAAUUUGUGGUUGAAGAACAUUUCUUUGCAACAAGUGGGAAAUAUACAAGUCAUGUUGAAAUUCUCGAACUCCAUAAAGCAUCACAAUUGGCUAUUGAUCAUGAGAAAGAUGACAUUUUGGAUAAAAUUAACAAUUGGACAACAACUUUUAUGGAGCAAAAUCUCUUAAACAAUGGCUUCAUCGAUAGGAUGUCAAAGAAGGAGGUAUUUUAUUUUGUGUAUCUUAAUUUAUAUCGUGUAUAAAGUUUGGGAACGUAAAAAUAUAUAACUUUUGAAUCCUAUAGUUUAUAUAAACUAAAGGCUUACAUGUACAAUAAAGAAUAUUUUCUGAAACUUAUGAUUUUAAAAAUAUCAUGUCAUUAGGAUUGUUGAUAGAAUGAGAUGUUGAAAUUAUAACUUACGAAGUAUACAAAGAUAGUAUUUGGUACCACCACAUGAUCAAGAGUAGUAGUGACGAUGAUAUAAAUAGUAGUUAAAGUUAUUUUUUUCGUUACAAAGAAUAAUUUUAUAAUAUUCUAAAUCUCAUUUCUUAAGGUGCGAUACUUCCUUGAAUUAUAUAUAAAUACAAGAUAUUUUAUGUAUCGAACUAUAUUUUUCUUUUAUUCCUAAUUUUUGAAAUAUUAGGUGGAACUUGCUUUGAGGAAGUUUUAUACCACAUAUGAUCGAACAGAAUAUAGAAGGUAUAUCAAGUCAUACGAAGAGAACAAUUUUAAAAUCUUAAAAGCGGCUUAUAGGUAUGAUUAUCUAUCAUUAUCACUUGUAAAUUCAUUUUAAUUUCUAUUUAUGUUAAAUCAUUGUAGUGAAGUGAUAAAUUAAGGAAAGAAUAUAUGGAGUAUUAAUCAAUAAUUUCAUGAUAAUAAUGUGUAUAUAUAACUAACUUGUGUCAUGUAUUUAUUGAGUUGGUAUCAUAUACUCGAUGUAACUUUAUAAUAUAAAAAAUAAACAAUAGGUACUCUAUAGAUGUCGGGAUAAGAUAUGAGAUUAGAUGUGUCAACUGGACGGAUUAGAUCAAAAUUAAGUGGACAAACCCCUUAGAUGUGAGGUUUGAAGUUUUUGCAAUCAAUUAAAGAAGUUUUCAAUGAUAAGAGCUACAAAAAUAGGCUGGCUAGACAACAAGCACAAUCCAAGAUUCCAAUCAAGUUGCGAUCAAGGUUGAAUAUGCGCCCCUACAUGACAUAAUACAAAUCAUCUUGAGUGUAUCUCAUACUAACUAUCAUAUAGGACACAUUUGUUUAUUUGUUCAAUUUUAUACAAGUUUAAGUUCAUGUGUGCACACAAAGUUGAACGACAUAAAUAUCAGUUAAAGCCGAAUUAAAAAACGCAUUUAUAUAUUAUGUCCCGCAAGUUCUAAUUUAAGUCUUUCUCUCUAUUAGGUCACCCAACAUUAACAAUAAGGACUUGUUAAUAUUUUCAAUACAUGACUUUGAAUUAUGCCAAGCUCAACACCGAGAAGAACUUCAACAACUCAAGAGGUAUCUAUUGACACUUUUUUCUUUUUAGUCCGUUUAAAAAAUGACAAUUUUUUUUUAUAUUUAGUGACAACUUAACUUAAAUUUUCUAUUUUACUUUUAAUAAAAUAAUUUAUAAUUACACAGAUAUUUAUAAUUUAUUUGAUACCAUAAAUUUCAAAACUCAUUUUUACCUAAUCAAAUCCUAAUUAAGGCUUAUUUAUCCAUCUUCAUUGUGGCCUUAACCUUCUUAGGUAAGAAAACUACCACCAUGACGAUGAAUUUUUUUUUCCCUUCUUAAACUUCAUGUGAAGUCAAACAUCUUCAUGUAUACGAAUGUAGGUGGUUUGAAGAUUGUAGAUUGGACCAACUCGGACUUUCAGAACAAUUAAUAUAUACUAGUUACUUAAUUUGUGUUGCUAUUGUCACCGACAUUGAAUUCUCCGAUGCUCGUCUCAUGUACGCGAAAUACGUCAUGCUCCUGACUGUUGUCGAUGAUCUUUUCGAGAGUUUUGCAUCUGAAGAUGAAUUGCUCAACAUCAUUGAAUUAGUAGAAAGGUAUUUCUUAUGAAGUUAUAAGCUCGUCAAACUGACUUAGUUUGACUUAUAAGCCUUUUUAAAGCUUAUUUAUGUGUUUGGUAAUUAAGCACCAAAAUACUUAAGAUAUUUUUCUUGAAACAAAACUCUUUUAACUUCCUCUUUACAUUGUAUUCAUCGUUCCUCUUUUUUUUUAAAAAAAAAUAAAUUAAAUUGUAAGGGUAUUUUAGUUAUUCUAAAAAUAAAAUAAAAUAUAGCUUAUCAGCAUUUUUUAAUUAAACAUAUCAAAUGGAGUACUUAUUAACAGUUUCAAUAUUUUUAUCCAAUCACAUAAUUGUGUAUUCAUAAAAUUAGUUUCAACACUUAAAAGUUUAUCGAUUAUUAUUUACAGGUGGGAUGACUAUGCAAGUGUAGGUUAUAAUUCUGAGAGGGUUAAAGUUUUCUUUUCAAUUUUUUACAAAUCAAUAGAGGAGCUUGCAACAAUUGCUGAAAUUAAACAAGGCCGAUCUGUCAAAAAUCACCUUACUGAUUUGGUAAGAGAAUUAUUCUCUAACUUCCCUCUUUAAUUUUAUUUUUUAUACAUUUGUUUGUCUUACUGUAUUUAAAAAAGAAUAUCUCUUUUCUAAUUUUGCAUGUCUUUAAUUUUCACAUUCAACGUAUCAUAUUUAAGAUCAUAAAAUUAAAUGAUAUUUUGAUACAUUAAGCAUAUUUUUAAUUUAUGACCACAAGAUUCAAAAAUCAUUUUUACUUUUGUUUUUCUUACUUUUCUUUUUAGUGUGUUUACAAAAAGAAUGUCUCUUUCUAAUUUGGAACUCUUUAAUUUCAACAUUCCAUGUGACAUCUUUAAUUUUGGUAUAAUAAGCACAUCUUUAAUUUUAACUGCACAAAAGUCAAAAAAAAAUUUUACUGUCUUAAAUUUGUUGGGUUUUAAAAGGUGUGAAUGAAAAUUGAAGAGUUUCGACUUUUAUGAAGAGUUGUGACUUUUAUGAAAAAUUGCAACUUUUAUGAAGAGUUGUGAUUUUUAUGAAAAGUUGUGACUUUUAUGAAAAGAGAAAAUACAUAAUUACCCCAUCAAACUUGUACCAUUUUUUGAAGUAGACACCUAAAAUUUGUGAGGGUUCUAUUACCCCACGAAACUAUUUAUAUUCAUGAUAAAUACACCCUUUUCAGCCAUUUUUACUGCAAUUGUGUUCUCACGAAAACUGAGCGCGUGAAGGAGUAAUAUUACAGCCCCAAACCAGUGUUAAAAUACCAUGUGGCAUUUUUAAUUUGAUUUUUUAAUUAAUAAAUUAGACCCAUCUUCUCAUCUUCCCCAAAUCACCAUUAAUAGCCUUUUAAGAAGCUUUUUCAACAUGCCAAAAAUUAAAAACCACCAUUCUUGCUCAAAUUUUAUAUUUUAAAAUGCGAUAUUAUUAGAUUCUAUCUUCUUCUUUUUUAAACUUAACCAAGUAGUUUUCUCUUUUCUAAAAAUUAAAGAUCGAAAAUGGUGAUGCUAAUAGAUAAAGAAGGCGAUUUGGGAUGAAGAUGAUAAUUUAAAUUUUGGUUUGAUAGAACUUCUAACUUUCAUAUUUUGAUUAUUUGUCAAUGAUUUAGUAGUGAUUAAGUAGUGCAGUGAUGGAGUGUUUUCACUAUGAUUUGUGGUGGUGGAAUUCAAAAAAUCAAUUUCGAGAAGUCAAAGGCCAAGUAGAAAUUUAAAAGAGAAAAAAUUCGAAAAAGAAAAGAAAAGAAAUAAAAAUAGAAAAUUAAAGGCAAAAAUGAAAAGAAUUAAAAGUUAAAUAGUGAAUGACAGGUGAUAGAUUAGGGUUGGUGCGUGAUUUGUACAUGCGUUAUUACAACUGGGAAUGACCGAAAAAGGGGGUGUAUAUGCUACUUUAAAAUGAUUUCCUGGGGUAACAGGACUCCCGCAAACUUUAGGUGUCUAAUUCAAAAAAUGGUAUAAGUUCGAUGGGGUAAUUAUGUAUUUUCUCUUAUGAAAAGUUGUGACUUUUAUGAAAGAUUAUGACCUUUCCAAAAGAUUGUGACUUUUCCAAAGGGUUGUGACCUUUCCGGUAAGGAACAAUAAGAACCUUUUCACACUACCCUCUGUUGUCUAUAAAUAUUGGGAUUUCCUCUCAUUUUAAGAGAGCCAAUUUUCUGGACUUCUUCUACUACUACUAAAUCUAGUAUUCUAAGUGUACUUUACUGUAGUUGAGUAGUUCGCUGACACCGUGAUUUUAGGUACCGAUACACCAGUGAGUAAGAUCAUUCUAUCCUGGGAGGAUAUAUUCCAUUAACCUCGGGUAGUUGAGAGGAAUAAUUUCUUUAAGGGGACACUGUGCAUUCAGUGGGCUCGAUUUUCUUCUUUAAGAAAAAUAUUUUGUAUACUGUUCCUAAUCUGUUUCCAAUUCUAUUUUCUCUUCUAGUUUUAAUUUUCUAGUUUUGAAAAUACUCUUUAAAUUUUGUUGUUUCUUAUCAAGUUCUUCAAAGUUUUUGUUCUAAGUAUCUUAGGAAUACAGGAUGAACAACAAAAUUAUCUACCUAGUUAACUAAGACAAACAAAUUGAAUCAGAAAAACUAUUUCAAUUGCUUCUAAUUUAUUUUCUUAAACGCCGUGUCUACGAUCAUACAAUUUUAAUAGUGGCUUGAAGUGAUGAAGUGGAUGUUGAUUGAACGACUAGAGUGGUGGACAAGCAAGACGAUACCAAGCAUAGAAGAGUAUUUGUAUGUUACUUCUAUAACAUUUGGUUCAAGAUUGAUUUCUCUCACAACACAAUAUUAUCUUGGAAUAAAAAUCUCCAAGGAUAUUUUAGAAAGUGAUGAAAUAUAUGGCUUAUGGAAUUGUAGCGGUAGAGUCAUGCGACUCCUCAAUGAUUUACAAGCUUCCAAGGUAACAACUCUUGUAUUUUUUUAAUAUUAAUUUGGCUCAUAGAGAUAAUUUUCAUCAUGUGAUAUUGGAUAAGCAUCAUCAUACAAUUAUAUAAAAUAAAACUUAUCACUUGGAUAUAUAUAUAUAUAGGGGUGUGUUGGGUAUGAAAAAUGUUUUCCAGAAUAAUAAAUUAAUUCCUUAUUUUUUAUACUAAAUAAAUAAUAUUACCUAAAAGAAACAUUUGUAUAUCAUUUAGAUAAAUUCUAUGGAAGCUAAGGUGGAGUUGGUCGAUGAGAGGUAGGGGAUGUGGGCCUGUAGGGUGGUGGGGAUGAGGGCUAGGGGUGAAGUAAAGACGAUUAGAUUUGUUGGAGGAUAGAAAAGAGACAAUCAAUCAAUGUAAAAUACCACUUGUGAAAACAUAUUUUUCUUACUUCCAGCAAAAAAGUCAUUUUCUUCUAUACCGAACACACCUAUAGUGUUAAAUUUUCUUUUCAUGUCAAAACAAUCAACUUGUCAAUACAAAACCUUAGACUACUGAGUGAUGAGAUGCUAAUUUAGAAUUUUAAAUUUAUAGAUUUUGUUUCUUAUUGAAUUCUGAAUAAAUUAUUUAUAUUAUUGUUAUAAAGACAUAAAUUGAACCUAAACUAUUGAUUUUUACCGAACUCAUAACAUCUUCUAUGCCUCCAUUAUAGUACAUGUCUUUUUUAGUACUCCACAUAUUGAAACAUAUAUUAAUAUUGGUGGAUUGUUUCCCACAUGUUUUCCUACAGAGAGAACAAAAGGAGGGCUCAAUAAAUUUAGUCACAAUACUAAUGACAAAUAUCUCUGAGGAAGAAGCUAUAAUGAAGAUAAAGGAAAUCUUGGAAAGUAAUAGAAGGGAGUUGUUGAAAAUGGUUUUAGUUCAAAAAAAGGGAAGCCAAUUGCCUCAAUUAUGCAAAGAAAUAUUUGGGAGGACAAGCAAAAUGGCUUAUUUCACUUAUUCACAUGGUGAUGAAUAUAGAUUUCCAGAGGAAAUGAAGAAUCACAUUGAUGAAGUCUUUUACAAACCACUCAAUCAUUAAUCCCUCAUUUUGAAUUUAUGAGUUUUGUUCUUUCCUUCUAUUUCAACUAGUAAACUUGUUUGCACUUCGCGCGAUAAUAAAAAAUCUCUAUAAACUUGUGUUUUUUUUUUUUUGGUAAAUCAUUAUCUAAUACCUCAAUAUUAUAAAAAAUCUAAAAGUAUAUUUUGCUCUUUAUUGUUUGUUCGAAAAGAUAAUACAAACGUACAAGUCUAUCUUUAAUUUUGAAAACGAAACCCUAGCUUUGCUUUUCUUGUGGUUUGUUUUUCUGAGUUUAGGAGGGGGGGGGGGGGUUUAAGAGCGUAUACAAGGAAAAAAACUGAGUACUUGAUGAAAUAUAUAUAUUAUUCCCCUAAUAGAAGUUAAAGUGUCGUGUCUUAGAUUUAAGACGGAUGGGAAAAUACCAAAACAACCUCAAUUAAAAAGUUGUAAAAAAACCUUCAAUGAGGGUCAUCUAUGGCCCGUGAUUUGAUCUACGAACUGUAGAUCCCAUCCGUAGAAGUUAGGAUGCAAUUUUGAGUUUCUAAAAUCCAUUCUAUGAACCCAAAUUACAGCUUGUAGUUGGGUUUACGAUUCAUAAUAAGAUCUGUGAAAAUCAGGCCAAAAACAAGUUUCUAAACUUCAUUUUACGGGUUCAAAUUACCGCCCGUAGAUGGAUUUACGACCUAUAAUUGGGUCCGUGAAAGUCAGACCAGAAAAAUCAGUUUCUGAAGUUUGUUUUAUAUACAAGUCCAAGCUAUGGUCCGUACUUCAAUUUACGAUCCGUAAAUGGAGUUCGUAGUUGUCAAACUCUGAAAACUUAAUUGGAGUAGUUUGGUAAAACCUCCAUAACUUUUUACUCCGAACACUUAUUGACACAACCUUGGGGGCAUUCAAAAAAAGACUCAUAGGCCUUUAAUUUGAUAGGUCAUGGCCACUAUUCAUUAUAUGUUGAGAGCUAUAGUCGUUUGAAGUUGACUCGUGCAUGAACUAAUGAGAAAAACUUAGUCGGUAGGAUGGUUUUGAACUCAACUUAGUACUAAAGGUCUCUUAUGACCCUAAACCACUUCUCACACAUAGGAAUGAACCUUAACACAUAAGAACAAGUAGGACAAUACCCGGUUCAAGCUUAUAUACUUACAACGAAAGAUUUGAAUUACAAGAGUAGAGUUGCGAGAUGUUACAAAUAUAUAUAUAGCGAUAAUUAUAGUACUACCACUAAAUAGUUACUGAAAAGUUUUUUAUUUGUUGUAGUCUAAAACACAUAAAACAAGACAUACAAGGGGCUAGGUCUAAAAACUAACAAUGGUUUUCAAUAUGUAUCCACCAAAACGUCUAUGCCUUUGUUGAAAGUUAAGUAUUGC